AGUGAACGCUGGCGGUAGGCCUAACACAUGCAAGUCGAACGGCAGCACAGUAAGAGCUUGCUCUUACGGGUGGCGAGUGGCGGACGGGUGAGGAAUACAUCGGAAUCUACUUUUUCGUGGGGGAUAACGUAGGGAAACUUACGCUAAUACCGCAUACGACCUACGGGUGAAAGCAGGGGAUCUUCGGACCUUGCGCGAUUGAAUGAGCCGAUGUCGGAUUAGCUAGUUGGCGGGGUAAAGGCCCACCAAGGCGACGAUCCGUAGCUGGUCUGAGAGGAUGAUCAGCCAAACUGGAACUGGGACACGGUCCAAGCUCCUACGGGGGGCAAGAGGGGGGAAUAUUGGACAAUGGGCGCAAGCCUGAUCCAGCCAUACCGCGUGGGUGAAGAAGGCCUUCGGGUUGUAAAGCCCUUUUGUUGGGAAAGAAAAGCAGCAGGUUAAUACCCCGCUGUUCUGACGGUACCCAAAGAAUAAGCACCGGCUAACUUCGUG
RNAcentral lists this ribosomal RNA (492 nucleotides) under uncultured bacterium. RNAcentral describes it as "partial 16S ribosomal RNA". It matches the Rfam family "Bacterial small subunit ribosomal RNA", at positions 29 to 507 of the family's 1533-position model. The record is from RNAcentral.